RNA transcript from Symphalangus syndactylus (siamang), 4343 nucleotides. It is a transcript of the gene named nuclear RNA export factor 1, with no coding region annotated. The record is from RefSeq and is a predicted model, not a curated record. Lineage: Eukaryota; Metazoa; Chordata; Mammalia; Primates; Hylobatidae.
GCUCUGACACACAGCUGCCUCUAGGCAGGGGAGAACCAAGUGUUGCAACACUUCAUUAGCUUGGAAACUUCCUUUCACACAGGGGAGCAGGAUCCCAGAGGGGGUCCCUGAUUGGUGGUAACUUCCAGGACUGUCUCAAGCAGUGUUUGGACCUGUUUCAUCUGUAUCUUCCAACUGUUUGGCCGUAAUUCUUCCUUGAGCUAAGCAAGUCAGAAGCUCUGCCUGCUGCCAGUAGAAGGUGUAGAAUUUUUUCCUAACUCCAGUUGAGGCUUUUGAUUCCCUCCAAGCACUUCACCAAAUCAAAGCCAGUCACAGAGAAUGGAGGAGACACCUGCCCAGAAUACCCACCGUCCAGGGAGAUUAAUGUGCUUUGUUCUUCCUGACCGAGACUCACAACCACAUUCUGAGGUCACUCGAGUGCCCCUGUCUCAUACAUGCCAAAGAAGUUGAAGCUAUAGAGACAACAAUCAAUCAGGGGCUGGUGGUGGUGCUUUUGGGGGUCUAGGAGAGCCCAAGGCCCUGAUAUUUUAAAAUCUCCUCCUCCUUGGCAUCUCCAGCAAGUUGCCGCUGCUGGUGAGCUUCGCUGUCUGCCCUGUUGACACGAUGGGUUUCUAGUAGGGGACGCCAUUGAUGGAAGAUCUGUGAAGACAAUGCUCGCCAAACCCCUGACAGAUGUCUCAUUUGACUCAGCAACUCAGGGCGGGGUGGGGGAAAUUCAUAAAACAAAUUCAUUUAUUUCACAAAUACAUGUUGAAUUUUUACUAUGUGCCAGGCAUAGUACCUGCCGAGUCAAGCCCUCGAGGAAAAAAAGCCAUUAAUUAGUCAACGUUCGAGCUCACAUUCUAAUUCUCAACUUCGUGAUUUGUUAAUCCAUCUUAUAGGCGAAGAAAGCGAGGCAUAGACAAGGAGCCGAGCUGAAACUGGCUAGAUUCCGGUAGGGGUCUGAGCCAUCUCUCCCACCUGGAGGCGCGGUCUCCAUUCCUCUGAAGCCCUUUGUGCGGCCCCCUUCCUCGCUGAGUUCUGGGCUGCAGUGGCAGCACUCUGCUCUAGCACUAACUCUGAAGCUGCCAGGGCAGCGUCAGCGGACAGAUGAAAAGGUGCCGGGACAUGCCGGCUGCCAGCCGGGGUUCCGCAAGCUCAGGCCUUAGGGCGGGGCGUGGAGGGGAGGCCCCGCCCCUCGCACGACGGCCUUAAGUGUGCGCACGCGUAGGGGGUCGCUCUUUCUCCGGGCGGCGGCACCGCCCACACCCUGGGACGUCAGCGGCGUGCGACGUGCUUUGCUGUAUAAAUGCGGUGGCUCCUGGCCUAGGGACACUUCAGUCCUGAGCGCUUGGGAGUGCGGUCGUUUGCCGGCGUAGCGGCCAGAGCCUGAGCCAGCCCUUGUUCUUCGCUGUGGCAUGGCGGACGAGGGGAAGUCGUACAGCGAACACGAUGAUGAGCGUGUUAAUUUCCCUCAAAGAAAGAAGAAAGGCCGGGGUCCCUUCCGGUGGAAAUAUGGUGAAGGAAACCGUAGGUCUGGAAGAGGCGGUUCUGGUAUUCGGUCUUCCCGCCUUGAGGAAGAUGAUGGAGAUGUGGCAAUGAGUGACGCCCAGGAUGGUCCCCGAGUACGAUACAACCCCUAUACCACCCGACCUAACCGUCGGGGUGAUACUUGGCAUGAUCGAGAUCGCAUUCAUGUUACUGUGCGGAGAGACAGAGCUCCUCCAGAGAGAGGAGGGGCUGGCACCAGCCAGGAUGGGACCUCAAAGAACUGGUUCAAGAUUACAAUUCCUUAUGGCAGAAAGUAUGACAAGGCAUGGCUCCUGAGCAUGAUUCAGAGCAAGUGCAGUGUGCCCUUCACCCCUAUUGAGUUUCAUUAUGAGAAUACACGGGCCCAGUUCUUCGUUGAAGACGCCAGUACUGCCUCUGCAUUGAAGGCUGUCAACUAUAAGAUUUUGGAUCGGGAGAACCGAAGGAUAUCUAUCAUCAUCAACUCUUCUGCUCCACCCCACACAAUACUGAAUGAACUGAAGCCAGAACAAGUAGAACAGCUAAAGCUGAUCAUGAGCAAACGAUAUGAUGGCUCCCAACAAGCCCUUGACCUCAAGGGCCUCCGUUCAGACCCAGAUUUGGUGGCCCAGAACAUUGACGUUGUCCUGAAUCGCAGAAGCUGUAUGGCAGCUACCCUGAGGAUCAUUGAAGAGAACAUUCCUGAGCUAUUGUCCUUGAACUUGAGCAACAACAGGCUAUACAGGCUGGAUGACAUGUCUAGCAUCGUUCAGAAGGCGCCCAACCUGAAGAUCCUAAACCUUUCUGGAAAUGAAUUGAAGUCUGAGCGGGAAUUGGACAAGAUAAAGGGGCUGAAGCUAGAAGAGCUCUGGCUCGACGGAAACUCCCUGUGUGACACCUUCCGAGACCAGUCCACCUACAUCAGGUCAGUUGUAGCCUGUGUCUCCCCUCCUGGGGACCUUCACCCCCUGGGAGGCUGAGCUAAUGCAUCCUGACCAGGGCCCGUCUGCGGAGAUGUGCAGCCCUGAGCUGGAACCACCUGUCCUUUGGGAGGAACGCGUGCUCCCCCUUUGGUCUGUCUAUGUCUUCCAGCUUUGUCCUGAGAUCUUCUCUCUUCUGACCUGACUAUCUGUUUGCUGGGUCUGUGGCCUUUCUCUUUCUUCCUGAACACAGCCUUUUCUAGAAUCUCCCUACCCUGUUGUUCCAGGAAAGGCAUCUCCCUUUCUACUCUGACCAGAGGGUGUCUUGUACAUACCCUAUAGAUGGGGUUGCCUUGUGCCAAGAGCCUGGUGUCCAUGGGUUGAGGAAGCCCUCCCUACCUGGGACUUCCUGCUGAGAUGGGCCUUCCCUCCUUUAUACUGUGAUGGUCCCUCUUGCCCUUGUGCCAAGAGGUACCCUUUUCUCAGGAUCCACUUGCCCAGGGCUGUUGCUGUCCAUGCUGAGGUUGAGGCCUCCUAGGGGCUGGUGGCAUGCAGUCUGUCUCUCUCGCUCAGUGCUAUGAGCUGGGCUCUCCCUGAAGAAGAAACCUGGGUUCCCCAAGAUGUGACCAGAGCUGGGGCCCCGCCAGCAGGCGAGGGAAUCCCAAGGCAGGUGCUGGGCGUGGAGGCCACGGGGGCAUAGGCUACCAAGGAGACAGAGAACUGACCCCCUCGGGGGCGCUGCCUCUCCCUCACUCACACACUGCACGUCACCCUGUUUGGCCCCGGUGGAUGGCUGGUUAGCCAGAGACGGGUAAGAUUCCUCAGGGAAGGAACAACCUAAGACAGGCACAGUCGCAGAGGGGCCAUCAGGAGAGAACUUGGGGGCAACAGAGGUGGGGCAUGGACCCUCACCCCCACAAUCCUGCAGGGGCCUGAACCCUCAUACCUUCUGAGGAAGGUCUCCUGCCCCCAUGGCUGCUUUGCUUCCCACGCCCAGCUCAGAUCGGGACCCAGGUAGCAGACAGAGACCUGGCCAACAGCAAGUGCCCACUCACCACAGCAACGAUUUGUUUCUCAUUUCUACCUUGGACCACAGGGAUGGGGCAGCUGAAAGAAAGGGCUGUGUCAGGGUGUCUUUCUCCCUUUUCUCCCUCAUUUUUCUAGAUGCUUUUUUGCCUUGUAGUUCUUUCCCUUUUUCUUUGCUUUCUCUUUCCUUUUUCUCUCUGUCUCCUAUACCUCCCCAUCUCUCCCUUGCCCCUGCCCCAUCCUGCCUUUUUCUCUUUUUCCUCCUUUUCCUUUCCUUUCUUAUUCCUUUGCCUCUCCUCUUCCUGAGCCCCACCUGCUCAUCUCCCUGCCCUAACAUCCUGUGCCAUCCCUCUGGUGUGUUUGGGUCUUGGCCAAGGCCAGACCUGGCAGAACUGAUGGAUACCUGGUGAGGCAGCGGAGCCCCUGGGCUCCCACCCCAUUCCCUCCUCCCGGGGCUGCACAGGUGAGUAGGUGGAAGGUAAGGGGGGCAGGGAGGGGAAAGAGGUCCUGGGCUUAAAGCCUGGGCUUGGAGUACUGCUCCUUGACACUCAGGGUCAGGCAGAGAGAAAAGAGACAGCCUUCAAGGCAGUCCAUGUCUGGGUGCCCCGGCUCAGGUGGGGAGUGGGGACCAUUUUUCCCUGAGCACAGGCUGGGAGGGAGUGGAGGGAUGAGCAGGAUGGGAUGGGCUGUCCCUCGGGUUUGGUAUAUUUGCUCCUAGAGCAGCCCAGGAGGCACGGUGGCUCUGAAGCAUCACUCACUUCUGUCCCGUUCUUGACAGCGCCAUUCGCGAACGAUUUCCCAAGUUAUUACGCCUGACGGAGUUUCACUCUUGUCGCCCAGGCUGGAGUACAACGGCGUGAUUUCAGCUCACUGCAACCUCUGCCUCCCAGGUUCAAGCGAUUCUCCUGC